AACGCACAUUGCGCCCACCAGCAUUCUGGCGGGCAUGCCUGUUCGAGCGUCAUUUCCACCCUCGGGCCUACGGGUUCGGUGUUGGGGUCUUUGCACUUGCAAACCCCGAAAGACAGUGGCGGGCUCGCUGUGGCUCCGAACGUAGUACUAUACCUCGUUUUGGUGUCUGGCGGUGCCCUGCCGUAAAAGCUCCCUUUGGGGACGUUAGAUUGACCUCGGAUCAGGUAGGACUACCCGCUGAACUUAA
RNAcentral lists this unclassified non-coding RNA (247 nucleotides) under uncultured fungus. Its description in RNAcentral is "partial contains 5.8S ribosomal RNA, internal transcribed spacer 2, and large subunit ribosomal RNA". The record is from RNAcentral. Lineage: Eukaryota; Fungi.